Ziziphus jujuba (common jujube) is the source of this 962-nucleotide long non-coding RNA. RefSeq lists it as uncharacterized. NCBI's taxonomy places the organism in Eukaryota, Viridiplantae, Streptophyta, Magnoliopsida, Rosales, Rhamnaceae. The record is from RefSeq and is a predicted model, not a curated record. The transcript is spliced from 5 exons.
CAUACCAAUCGUAGCUUUUACUUUUUCUAUGAAUUUGAUGCUUGAAAAUUAAAAAGGAAAUCUGAUGCUUAUAGCCUUAUACCGUAUCUCUUGCUCUUUGCCUUCGUCUCUCAUCUCUUUCCACCUCUCCAGGAACUUUUCUAAGAUCUAGCCGGCAACUGAAGUUCCUUUGCUUUUUUUUGUUGACAUUGAAGAGAAGGGUUCGUCUGCACUAGCCAGUGGUAUUUGAAGAGAAGGGUUCCUAAAGUUCCUCUAGAUCCUCUGGCUCUGCCUCUACCACCGUCUCUGCCUCCUCUGUCUCCUCUGUACAUAUAUAUUUUAAGCCAUUCUCUCCCAAUUAAAACACGCUUCCCCUUCCCCGUGAGAGAAAGGAAGUGUCUUCCUCUCUCGCAUCUGCAAGACGCCCAUUUCUUUCUUUGUCAUCAAACAGUCUUUGGAGCAGAGGACUGGUUUUGAGCUUCAAUGGUAGUUUCUUAACAUCACUGUCUUGUUCCUAAAAUUCCAGAGGAUUUAUAUCAUCUUAUUAAGAAGGCAAUCUCAACUAGAAAGCAUUCUGAGAGGAACAGGAAGGAUAAGGAUUCCAAGUUCCGUUCGAUUUUGGUUGAGAAAUUUGCAGGAGCAUCUUGUGUUACAAAACAAAAUCUACCUCCAUCUAAUUGAUCUAUGAUUGCUUGGAUGAAUGGAAUAUGGCUUUGCAUGGCAUAUUGUGAUAAUGGGAUUGUGGUUGAUGGUGGUUGCUCGUGGAAUGAAGUGUGUGGAAGAAGACUAUUUAAAAUAAUUUUUAUUUUUAUGUAUUGUUAGUUUAUUAAAUUCUAAGUUAAUUUUGAAGUUUAAGAUAUCAAAUAUGGUUGUAUUCUAUUUUAUAACUAAUAUUGGUUGUAAACUUGUUGUAGAAUUUAUUUGUUGUUGUAUGAUGUAUUUGUAUAAUUAGGUGAUAGCUAUAAACUUGUAUUGUAGUUGUA